UCGGACGGCAGCGGUGUUUGUACAUUAAUGUCCACCCGCCCCAAAGCCUGAUGGCAACCGACGACGGGGGAGGGGAUGACGGCGUUGGGGGUUGUUAACCUCUUUUCGGUAGGGAAGAAGCGAAAGUGACUGUACCAGCAGAAGAAGCCCCGCUAAGUGCGUGCCAGCAGCUGUGGUAAUACGUAGGGCGCGAGCGUUAUCCGGGAAUUAUUUUGGCGUAAAGAGCUCGUAGGUCGGUUUGUCGCGUCUGUCGUGAAAGUCCGUCGCUCAACCCCUGGAUCUGCGGUGGGUACGGGCAGACUAGACCGCAGUAGGGGAGACCGGAAUUCCUGGUGUAGCGGUGGAAUGCGCAGAUAUCAGGAGGAACACCGAUGGCGAAGGCAGGUCUCUGGGCUGUAACUGACGCUGAGGAGCGAAAGCAUGGGGAGCGAACAGGAUUAGAUACCCUGGUAGUCCAUGCCGUAAACGUUGGGCACUAGGUGUGGGGACCAUUCCACGGUUUCCGCGCCGCAGCUAACGCAUUAAGUGCCCCGCCUGGGGAGUACGGCCGCAAGGCUAAAACUCAAAGGAAUUGACGGGGGCCCGCACAAGCGGCGGAGCAUGCGGAUUAAUUCGAUGCAACGCGAAGAACCUUACCAAGGCUUGACAUGUUCUCGAUCGCCGUAGAGAUACGGUUUCCCCUUUGGGGCGGGUUCACAGGUGGUGCAUGGUUGUCGUCAGCUCGUGUCGUGAGAUGUUGGGUUAAGUCCCGCAACGAGCGCAACCCUCGUUCCAUGUUGCCAGCACGUAAUGGUGGGGACUCAUGGGAGACUGCCGGGGUCAACUCGGAGGAAGGUGAGGACGACGUCAAAUCAUCAUGCCCCUUAUGUCUUGGGCUUCACGCAUGCUACAAUGGCCGGUACAAUGGGUUGCGAUACUGUGAGGUGGAGCUAAUCCCAAAAAGCCGGUCUCAGUUCGGAUUGGGGUCUGCAACUCGACCCCAUGAAGUCGGAGUCGCUAGUAAUCGCAGAUCAGCAACGCUGCGGUGAAUACGUUCCCGGGCCUUGUACACACCGCCCGUCAAGUCACGAAAGUCGGUAACACCCGAAGCCGGUGGCCUA
This 1100-nucleotide ribosomal RNA is filed under the name Micrococcus sp. AJ. RNAcentral describes it as "bacterial SSU rRNA". It matches the Rfam family "Bacterial small subunit ribosomal RNA", at positions 341 to 1437 of the family's 1533-position model. The record is from RNAcentral. Lineage: Bacteria; Bacillati; Actinomycetota; Actinomycetes; Micrococcales; Micrococcaceae.